RNAcentral lists this ribosomal RNA (253 nucleotides) under uncultured Bacteroides sp. RNAcentral's name for it is "partial 16S ribosomal RNA". It matches the Rfam family "Bacterial small subunit ribosomal RNA", at positions 524 to 776 of the family's 1533-position model. Lineage: Bacteria; Pseudomonadati; Bacteroidota; Bacteroidia; Bacteroidales; Bacteroidaceae. The record is from RNAcentral.
UACGGAGGAUCCGAGCGUUAUCCGGAUUUAUUGGGUUUAAAGGGAGCGUAGGUGGAUUGUUAAGUCAGUUGUGAAAGUUUGCGGCUCAACCGUAAAAUUGCAGUUGAAACUGGCAGUCUUGAGUACAGUAGAGGUGGGCGGAAUUCGUGGUGUAGCGGUAAAAUGCGUAGAUAUAUGGAAGAACACCAGUGGCGAAGGCGGCCGCCUGGCCUGUUGCUGACGCUGAGGCACGAAAGCGUGGGGAGCAAAUAGG